RNAcentral lists this precursor RNA (606 nucleotides) under Arabidopsis thaliana (thale cress). RNAcentral's name for it is "Ath-MIR851-771 polycistronic noncoding RNA". The stretch from base 133 to 240 matches the Rfam family "MIR851 microRNA precursor family". The record is from RNAcentral. Lineage: Eukaryota; Viridiplantae; Streptophyta; Magnoliopsida; Brassicales; Brassicaceae.
UACGAAAUGGGCAUGUGAAACACUAUAUAAUGGAAGGAGGUAAGAAGAAGAAAAUGAUAACUCUACCACAUUACCACCAUUCUUACACCUUCCUUUUUCUUUCUUUUCCUUUUCGUUUGAUUUUGGAAAGCAAGGGACUGUCGUCUCGGUUCGCGAUCCACAAGUAAUCUUUUGUGGAGAUUAUGAAAACAAUCAUCACGAGAGGCUACGUGUGGGUGGCAAACAAAGACGACAAUCCCUAUUCCAGUUCCAUCAGAACUUGAAAUAUCAUGUGAACUCUUGUGUCCCAACAGACACUUUACUACGGUGAUGAAACUUGUUUGUUGUUAAGUGGGCAUAGAGAACCAACCGGCCUCAAUAAGUGUUAAGGUCAUAGAAAAACGUAGACUGAUCAUCUAAAUUCGUCAUGAGCCUCUGUGGUAGCCCUCACAAUGAUCUCAAUAGAGUGCAUGCCACGAUCUUGUAAAGACGUAGAUGAGGGCUCCUCAGGUGUUCAUGUCGAAUGUUAGAUGAUGUAUGUUAAAGUUUCUUACAACUCUACAUCGUUAACACUUUAAUCAUAAAUUGAUAUGCAGGUUUUCUGAUUUGGAGAGGAGAGCUGUUUCA